AAAUGAAUAGACGGGGGCUCGCACAAGCGGUGGAUCAUGGGGCUUAAUUCGUCACUAAGCGAGGAACCUUACCAAGGCUAGAAAUCAUACUGCACGCCCGGUGAAAGCCGGGAAGCCUUCGAGGGUGUAUGACAGGUGAUGCAUGGCCGUCGUCAGUUCGUGGCUUGAGCUGUUCCCUUAAGUGGGGAAACGAACGCAACCCUCGUUGCCUGUUACAAGUGUCAGGCGAGACUGCUCCCUCACGGGAGAGGAAGGUGAGGAUGACGCCAGGUCAGCAUGUCCCUAGAUGCCUUGGGCUGCACCCGUGAUACAAUGGUUGGUACAACGAGACGCAAUGUGGCGACACGGAGCAAAUCUUAAUAAAACCAACCUCAAUUCGGAUUGAAGUCUGCAACUCGACUUCAUGAAGUCGGAAUCGCUAGUAAUCGUGGAUCAGCAACGCCACGGUGAAUACGUUCCCGAGCCUUGUACACACCGCCCGU
This 482-nucleotide ribosomal RNA is filed under the name uncultured bacterium. Its description in RNAcentral is "bacterial SSU rRNA". It matches the Rfam family "Bacterial small subunit ribosomal RNA", at positions 903 to 1397 of the family's 1533-position model. The record is from RNAcentral.